RNAcentral lists this ribosomal RNA (492 nucleotides) under uncultured bacterium. RNAcentral describes it as "partial 16S ribosomal RNA". It matches the Rfam family "Bacterial small subunit ribosomal RNA", at positions 29 to 507 of the family's 1533-position model. The record is from RNAcentral.
AGUGAACGCUGGCGGUAGGCCUAACACAUGCAAGUCGAACGGCAGCACAGUAAGAGCUUGCUCUUACGGGUGGCGAGUGGCGGACGGGUGAGGAAUACAUCGGAAUCUACUUUUUCGUGGGGGAUAACGUAGGGAAACUUACGCUAAUACCUCAUACGACCUACGGGUGAAAGCAGGGGAUCUUCGGACCUUGCGCGAUUGAAUGAGCCGAUGUCGUAUUAGCUAGUUGGCGGGGUAAAGGCCCACCAAGGCGACGAUCCGUAGCUGGUCUGAGAGGAUGAUCAGCGACACUGGAACUGAGACACGGUCCAGACUCCUACGGGAGGCAGCAGUGGGGAAUAUUGGAAAAUGGGCGCAAGCCUGAUCCAGCCAUGCAGCGUGGGUGAAGAAGGCCUUCGGGUUGUAAAGCCCUUUUGUUGGGAAAGAAAAGCAGCAGGUUAAUACCACGCUGUUCUGACGGUACCCAAAGAAUAAGCACCGGCUAACUUCGUG